UCUAGGUUUGGUUAAAACCAGAAAGUGCCUUUUUCAGGAGCCAAGAAGGGACUUUGUGUGCACUCUUCUUUAAUCUUUUCCCGCUCAGACAUAUGCACAAACACUUUGUUUACAAACAAACAAAAUCUGUUGAUACUACUACUACAAUAGUAUAAAAUAGAGACGAUGAAGUUCGUUCUGGUUACAGGAGGAGUUGUGAGUGGACUGGGUAAAGGCGUCACAGCCAGCAGCGUAGGCGUCGUCCUCAAGGCCUGUGGUCUUCGCGUCACUUCCAUCAAAAUUGAUCCAUACCUUAAUACGGAUGCUGGUACCAUGUCUCCCUUUGAACAUGGCGAAGUUUUUGUUCUUGACGAUGGUGGAGAGGUGGAUUUAGAUUUGGGUAACUAUGAACGAUUCCUGGAUGUUACUCUCACGAGAGAUAACAACAUCACCACUGGAAAGAUAUAUCAGUCUGUCCUUGAGAAGGAACGGAGAGGUAAUUAUCUUGGAAAGACAGUUCAGGUGGUUCCUCACAUCACAGACGCCAUUAAGAAUUGGAUUGAGUCCGUUGCUGCUAUUCCUGUGGACGGUAAAGAGGGCCCAGCAGAUGUUUGUGUGAUUGAGUUGGGAGGAACUGUUGGGGACAUUGAAUCAAUGCCAUUCAUUGAGGCUUUGCGACAACUAUCAUUUUCAGUUGGUCAAGAUAACUUUUGUCUCAUUCAUGUGAGCCUGAUACCUGUGCUGGGUGUUGUUGGCGAGCAAAAAACUAAGCCUACACAGCACAGUGUUCGGGAAUUGAGAGCAUUAGGGUUGACACCUCAUCUGUUGGCAUGUCGCUCUGCCCAGCCUCUGUUGGCAAAUACAAAGGAGAAACUUUCUCAAUUCUGCCAUGUCCCGAUUGCUAAUAUUCUCAACAUUCAUGACGUUCCAAACAUUUGGCACAUUCCUCUCUUACUUCGGAGCCAAAAUGCUCAUCAUUCAAUUCUACAACAGCUAAAUUUGCUGAGCAUUGCUGCACCUUCAGAUUUACAAGCUUGGACAAAGAUGGCCGAGACUUAUGAUAAUAUCACGAAUUCUGUGAGGAUUGCUAUGGUUGGGAAGUAUGUUGGCCUUACUGACUCGUAUCUGUCCGUUGUGAAGGCCCUUUUGCAUGCCUGCAUCGCAUGUUCCCUGAAGCCAUCAAUCGACUGGAUUGCAGCUUCUGAUCUUGAAGAUGAUAGUGCGAACUUGACACCAGAAGCUCAUGCGGCUGCAUGGGAGACUUUGAGGAAUGCAGAAUGUGUCUUAGUUCCUGGUGGAUUUGGAGAUCGUGGUGUGAAAGGAAUGAUAUUGGCUGCAAAGUAUGCUAGAGAGAAUAAUGUACCCUAUCUUGGGAUUUGCUUGGGCAUGCAGAUUUCUGUAAUUGAGUUUGCUAGAUCCGUUCUGGGUUUAGAAAGGGCAAACAGUUCAGAGUUUGAUACCGAGAGUCCGGAUAAUGUUGUAAUUUUCAUGCCUGAGGGUUCAAGAACACAUAUGGGAAGCACAAUGAGACUAGGUUCUCGAAAAACAAUAUUCCAGACCCAUGAUUGCCUUUCUUCGAAAUUGUAUUGUAAUCCCAAGUAUGUGGAUGAACGGCAUCGCCACAGAUAUGAGGUGAACCCUGAGGUAAUUGGGGCUCUUGAAGAAGCUGGGCUAAAAUUUGUAGGGAAGGAUGAAACUGGAAAACGAAUGGAGAUUUUGGAGCUUCCAGGUCAUCCAUAUUAUGUAGGAUCUCAGUUCCAUCCAGAGUUCAAAUCGCGACCCGGGAGGCCCUCUCCUAUGUUUUUAGGUUUAAUAUUGGCGGCAACAAAGCAGUUGGAAGCAUAUCUUAAUACACAUCAGAAUGGAAGUUAAUCUAGAAGUUUUUACCAUCUAGAUGUUCUACAUCAUUCUUACAAUUACUAGAUAGGUUGUGAUCAAAUUUAUUGAGUUCUUUUUCCCUUCCCUUCAUUUGGACAUGCAAGCCACCUCCCAGGAUGAAGCAUCGGAGUGUGUUUAAGAAAAUUUUGUUGUACUUUAGGCUGAAUUAGUAUUGUCCCCAUAUAUAUAAAUUUGGCAUAGCGUGUGUGAUGUUCAAGCCUUCUGAACACUGAUACUAAGGAUUGGACGAUUUGCUAAUUGCAAAUUCACUAACUAUGCAAUUGUCACCAUAAAUCUUGUUUUUCUCCCUUUACCAAGCAUUAGAAAUUUGAAAGUAUUCCAUAAUAUGGUUUGGUUUGAUAAUGCAUUGCAGACUGAAAUUGUGGUUGAUUAACAAUUAAAGAGUCAAAGGGAAUGAAAUAUUCACUUGUUCAAAAAUAU
Molecule: RNA transcript, 2298 nt
Organism: Pistacia vera
Lineage: Eukaryota; Viridiplantae; Streptophyta; Magnoliopsida; Sapindales; Anacardiaceae
Gene name: CTP synthase-like
Exons: 23
Source: RefSeq, a predicted model, not a curated record